GGCGGCGUGCCUAAUACAUGCAAGUCGAGCGGACGGAAGGGAGCUUGCUCCUGGAAGUCAGCGGCGGACGGGUGAGUAACACGUGGGUAAUCUGCCUGUCAGACCGGAAUAACGCCUGGAAACGGGUGCUAAUGCCGGAUAGUCAGUCUUAGGGCAUCUUAGGACUGGGAAAGGCGCUUUGGCGUCACUGACAGAGGAGCCCGCGGCGCAUUAGCUAGUUGGUGGGGUAAAGGCCUACCAAGGCGACGAUGCGUAGCCGACCUGAGAGGGUGACCGGCCACACUGGGACUGAGACACGGCCCAGACUCCUACGGGAGGCAGCAGUAGGGAAUCUUCGGCAAUGGGCGAAAGCCUGACCGAGCAACGCCNCGUGAGCGAAGAAGGNCUUCGGGUUGUAAAGCUCAGUCACUCGGGGAAGAGCCAACCGGAGAGGGAAUNCUCUGGGUAGAGACNGUACCGANGAGAGGAAGNCCCGGCUAACUACGUUGCCA
This 491-nucleotide ribosomal RNA is filed under the name uncultured bacterium. Its description in RNAcentral is "bacterial SSU rRNA". It matches the Rfam family "Bacterial small subunit ribosomal RNA", at positions 38 to 510 of the family's 1533-position model. The record is from RNAcentral.